AUGAGUGAUCAGGAGGGCGAGAUCAUGGAGAUCGACGACCUCCUCUCCGAGAUCCUGCUCCGCCUCCCGCCGGAGCCGUGCUCCCUCCCGCGCGCCUCCCUCGUCUCCACGCGCUGGCGCCGCCUCUCCCGUGACCCCGCCCUCCUCCGUCGCUUCCGCGCCCGCCACCGCCGCCACGCGCCCCUCCUCGGCGCCUUCUUCACCGACUACUCCGCCAGCACCAACCGCCACAGCCACAUCUCCUUCGCCCCUACGCUCGAUCCCCCCAACCGGGUCCGCUUCUCCUUCCCGGUCUUCGAGUACCCUUGCAUGGUCCUCGGCUGCCGCCACGGCCUCCUCCUUGCCUCCUUCUAUUACCAGCCCGGGCUCCUGGUCUGGGACCCCGUCACAGGCGACCAGCACCGCCUCGAUCAUCUUCAUCCUCCUGGAGGGUUCAAGUUCAAGACGAUGAACGGGGCGGUGCUUCGUAGUACCCAAGAAGACAUCCAUUUCAAGGUGGUCAUGGUAGGCCACGACGAGCAGCAUACACAAGUCAUCGCCAGCGUCUACUCGUCGCAGACCCGUGAAUGGGGCAGUGUCAUCUCCGCACCCAUUCCACCCACUGUUUCUGUAGUCACGGCGGUUCCAAGUGUCCUCAUCGGGGAUUCCCUUUACUGGUCGUCUUCUAGGAAUCCGGCUCAUCCGACCACCGUUCUUGAGUUCAAUCUGGGCACUAAGAGCCUAGCUGUGAUAGACGUGCCGGUGAAUAUGUACGCCCACGGCAAUCGAAGCUUCUCGGUUAUGCGGGCAGAGGAUGGCGGGCUUGGUUUCCUCUUUCUGUCGGGCCACAAUGCACAACUAUGGAAGAGGAACACGGACGGCGAUGGCGUUGCUUCAUGGGCGAUCACAAAAACUAUUCAAUUGGACAAGCUACUUUCCCUGAAUACGAAUACAGAGGAGGAGGAGGAGGACGAGGAGGAAAGGAGCCUGUCGAUUGAAGGGCUUGCUGAAAACACUAAUGUGUUGUUCUUGAGAACAUCUAUCGGUCGCUUUAUGGUGCAUCUUGACUCACUAUGGUCAUUGAGGUGCAAGGAACUUUCCCAAGCCGGGGUCACACAUGUGCUUCACCCAUUCACAAGUGUUUACACGGCUGCAGAUAACAACACACUUUCACCAUACAGGUACAAAAAUCUAAGCCAUUUUCUAUAUAUAAUUGGUUGA
Molecule: ribosomal RNA, 1200 nt
Filed under: Triticum aestivum (bread wheat)
Lineage: Eukaryota; Viridiplantae; Streptophyta; Magnoliopsida; Poales; Poaceae
Description: partial small subunit ribosomal RNA
Source: RNAcentral